GACGAACGCUGGCGGCGUGCUUAACACAUGCAAGUCGAACGGAAAGGCCUGCUUUCCCUUGUGGAUUGCGGGUGCUCGAGUGGCGAACGGGUGAGUAACACGUGAGUGAUCUGCCCCCAACUUGGGUAUAAGCCUGGGAAACUGGGUCUAAUUCCCGAUAGGACUGCAGGGUGGUGCCUGUGGUGGAAAACGAUUUUCUAGUGGUUGGGGAUGAGCUCGCGGCCUAUCAGCUUGUUGGUGGGGUAAUGGCCUACCAAGGCGGCGACGGGUAGCCGGCCUGAGAGGGUGGACGGCCACAUUGGGACUGGGAUACGGCCCAGACUCCUACGGGAGGCAGCAGUGGGGAAUAUUGCACAAUGGGCGGAAGCCUGAUGCAGCGACGCCGCGUGGGGGAUGACGGCCUUCGGGUUGUAAACUCCUUUCGACCGCGAGGAAGCCACCUGGUUGGAAGGGUGGUGACGGUAGUGGUAGAAGAAGCACCGGCUAACUACGUG
Molecule: ribosomal RNA, 494 nt
Filed under: uncultured bacterium
Lineage: Bacteria
Description: partial 16S ribosomal RNA
Rfam family: Bacterial small subunit ribosomal RNA
Source: RNAcentral